UUGUUAUUCAUUAGAUUCCGGAGGAAUGACUUUAUUAGCAUUGGAGUUGGUAAUUUUGAUAAGGGGAGUACAGUUAAAGGUGGAGCAGCAGUAAAAAGACCAGAUACUGUUAUGGCAUAAAUAUUUGCUUAUAUUUAGUGUGUACUAAUUUUUUAUAUAUCGUAUAUAAUAUUAUAUGGUUGAUGGAAUAUUUAGUAUUAAUACUACAAAUUAAAAUAUAAUAUAAUACAAAUAUUUAAAUAAUUAAUGUCAUCAAAAAUCUAUUUUUGAUAUAUAUAUUUUAGAAUAGAUUUAUAGUGCAAUGAGCAUAUCCAAAAUUUUUAGUAGGCAUGUUAGUCCCCCAUUAGUGAGUAACUUAAUACGUAAUAAAGGUGGCUUUGUCACUUCCAACUGAGAGAAGAAAUUUUUGCUAGCAUCUGAUGUAUAUCAAUAUUUUAUACCCGCAUAAAAUAUGUCGGCUAAAAGAGAUGAGUAUUUUUAUGAAUAAAAAAUUAUAUAUCUUUUAAAUUUUAUAUAUAACUGAUCGAUAUUGUAAAAUCAAUCUUUAUAUUUAAUACACAUAAUUUAGAAUAUUUAAAAUUCAUUAGAUUGGAUUAAAA
Molecule: long non-coding RNA, 599 nt
Filed under: Ananas comosus (pineapple)
Lineage: Eukaryota; Viridiplantae; Streptophyta; Magnoliopsida; Poales; Bromeliaceae
Description: long non-coding RNA (ACOM_LNC013807)
Source: RNAcentral